This 311-nucleotide ribosomal RNA is filed under the name uncultured Rhodobacterales bacterium. RNAcentral describes it as "SSU rRNA". It matches the Rfam family "Bacterial small subunit ribosomal RNA", at positions 29 to 367 of the family's 1533-position model. The record is from RNAcentral. Lineage: Bacteria; Pseudomonadati; Pseudomonadota; Alphaproteobacteria; Rhodobacterales.
ACGAACGCUGGCGGCAGGCCUAACACAUGCAAGUCGAGCGCAGUCCUUCGGGACCGAGCGGCGGACGGGUUAGUAACGCGUGGGAACAUACCCUUUUCUACGGAAUAGCCUCGGGAAACUGAGAGUAAUACCGUAUAAGCCCUUCGGGGGAAAGAUUUAUCGGGAAAGGAUUGGCCCGCGUUAGAUUAGAUAGUUGGUGGGGUAAUGGCCUACCAAGUCUACGAUCUAUAGCUGGUUUUAGAGGAUGAUCAGCAACACUGGGACUGAGACACGGCCCAGACUCCUACGGGAGCAGCAGUGGGGAAUCUUAG